Molecule: ribosomal RNA, 173 nt
Filed under: Laceyella tengchongensis
Lineage: Bacteria; Bacillati; Bacillota; Bacilli; Caryophanales; Thermoactinomycetaceae
Description: 16S rRNA. Bacterial SSU
Rfam family: Bacterial small subunit ribosomal RNA
Source: RNAcentral
CUUUAACGGAGAGUUUGAUCCUGGCUCAGGAUGAACGCUGGCGGCAUGCCUAAUACAUGCAAGUCGUGCGGGGGUCUCCGGACCCUAGCGGCGAACGGGUGAGUAACACGUGGGCAACCUGCCCGUAAGACUGGGAUAACUCCGGGAAACCGGUGCUAAUACCAGAUAAUCUC